This 253-nucleotide ribosomal RNA is filed under the name uncultured bacterium. RNAcentral's name for it is "partial 16S ribosomal RNA". It matches the Rfam family "Bacterial small subunit ribosomal RNA", at positions 524 to 776 of the family's 1533-position model. The record is from RNAcentral.
UACGUAGGUGGCAAGCGUUGUCCGGAUUUACUGGGCGUAAAGGGUGCGUAGGCGGACAUUUAAGUCAGAUGUGAAAUCCCCGAGCUUAACUUGGGUGCUGCAUUUGAAACUGGGUGUCUAGAGUGCAGGAGAGGUAAGUGGAAUUCCUAGUGUAGCGGUGAAAUGCGUAGAGAUUAGGAAGAACACCAGUGGCGAAGGCGACUCACUGGACUGUAACUGACGCUGAGGCAUGAAAGCGUGGGGAGCAAACAGG